RNAcentral lists this ribosomal RNA (253 nucleotides) under uncultured bacterium. RNAcentral describes it as "partial 16S ribosomal RNA". It matches the Rfam family "Bacterial small subunit ribosomal RNA", at positions 524 to 776 of the family's 1533-position model. The record is from RNAcentral.
UACGGGGGGUGCAAGCGUUGUUCGGAAUCAUUGGGCGUAAAGGGCGUGUAGGCGGCUGGAUAAGUCAGAUGUGAAAGCCCCGGGCUUAACCCGGGAAGUGCAUUUGAAACUGUCCGGCUUGAGUAGGGGAGAGGAAAGUGGAAUUCCUGGUGUAGAGGUGAAAUUCGUAGAUAUCAGGAGGAACACCGGUGGCGAAGGCGACUUUCUGGCCCUAUACUGACGCUGAGACGCGAAAGCGUGGGGAGCAAACAGG